AGGUGUGAUCAUACAAGCAUUAAUGCACCGGAUCCCAUCAGAACUCCGUAGUUAAGCGUGCUUGGGUGAGAGUACUACCAGGAUGGGUGACCUCUUGAGAAGUCAUCGUGUUGCACCUC
Molecule: ribosomal RNA, 119 nt
Organism: Arachis stenosperma
Lineage: Eukaryota; Viridiplantae; Streptophyta; Magnoliopsida; Fabales; Fabaceae
Source: RefSeq, a predicted model, not a curated record